AUGGUUGGACCAGAGACUGGACACAGGCAGAAUAGUUGGACCAGAGAUUGGACACAGGCAGAAUGGUUGGACCAAGGACUGGACACAGGCAGAAUAGUUGGACCAGAGACUGGACACAGGAUGGUUAGACCAGAAACUGGACACAGGAUUGUUGGACCAGAGACUGGACAAAGGCAGGAUGGUUGGAUCAGGGACUGGACACAGGCAAGAUGGUUUAACCAGGGACUGGACACAGGCAGGAUGGUUGGAUCAGUUACUGGACACAGGAUGGUUGGACCAGAGACUGGACACAGGAGGGUUGGACCAGAGACUAGAAACAGGCAGAAUGGUUGGACCAGAGAUUGGACACAGGCAGGAUGGUUGGACCAAGGACUGGACACAGGCAGAAUAGUUGGACCAGAGACUGGACACAGGAUGGUUAGACCAGAAACUGGACACAGGAUUGUUGGACCAGAGACUGGACAAAGGCAGGAUGGUUGGAUCAGGGACUGGACACAGGCAAGAUGGUUUAACCAGGGACUGGACACAGGCAGGAUGGUUGGAUCAGUUACUGGACACAGGAUGGUUGGACCAGAGACUGGACACAGGAGGGUUGGACCAGAGACUAGAAACAGGCAGAAUGGUUGGACCAGAGAUUGGACACAGGCAGGAUGGUUUAACCAGGGACUAGACACAGGCAGGAUGGUUGGAUCAGGUACUGGACACAGAAUGGUUGGACCAGAGAUUGGACACAGGCAGAAUAGUUGGACCAGAGGACCAGAGACUGGUCAAAAAGGUCCACCAGCCUCUUCUGGACCUCCUUCACCAUUGUGUCCGUUGGACCAGAGAUUGGACACAGGCAGGAUGGUUGGACCAGAGACUGGACACACGAUGGUUGGAUCGGAGACUGGACACAUACAGGAUGGUUGGAUCCACAGCUAUGUUGGGGGACCUCAUCUGUAUAAUCUGUUAUUAACAGAAUUAUUAUUAAGGUCCCACAUGCUCAGACAAAGGAAAUACUGCGGCCUGCAUGUAAAGUCCUCAUCCUGA
This 1029-nucleotide long non-coding RNA is filed under the name Betta splendens (Siamese fighting fish). Its description in RNAcentral is "lncRNA (ENSBSLG00000002742.1)". Lineage: Eukaryota; Metazoa; Chordata; Actinopteri; Anabantiformes; Osphronemidae. The record is from RNAcentral.